Non-coding RNA from Cordylochernes scorpioides, 73 nucleotides. The record is from the annotation of a GenBank genome assembly. NCBI's taxonomy places the organism in Eukaryota, Metazoa, Arthropoda, Arachnida, Pseudoscorpiones, Chernetidae.
UGCAUCGGCCGGGAAUCGAACCCGGGGCGCCCGCGAACCCUGCCGGCGAGCAUUCUACCACUGAACCAAAAGC